Molecule: ribosomal RNA, 235 nt
Filed under: uncultured Lactobacillus sp.
Lineage: Bacteria; Bacillati; Bacillota; Bacilli; Lactobacillales; Lactobacillaceae
Description: partial 16S ribosomal RNA
Rfam family: Bacterial small subunit ribosomal RNA
Source: RNAcentral
UGCCCAAGAGAUCGGGAUAACACCUGGAAACAGAUGCUAAUACCGGAUAACAACAGAUGAUGCCUAUCAACUGCUUAAAAGAUGGUUCUGCUAUCACUCUUGGAUGGACCUGCGGUGCAUUAGCUAGUUGGUAGGGUAACGGCCUACCAAGGCGAUGAUGCAUAGCCGAGUUGAGAGACUGAUCGGCCACAUUGGGACUGAGACACGGCCCAAACUCCUACGGGAGGCAGCAGGG